RNAcentral lists this ribosomal RNA (466 nucleotides) under uncultured bacterium. RNAcentral's name for it is "bacterial SSU rRNA". It matches the Rfam family "Bacterial small subunit ribosomal RNA", at positions 30 to 480 of the family's 1533-position model. The record is from RNAcentral.
AUUGAACGCUGGCGGCAGGCCUAACACAUGCAAGUCGAGCGGUAACAGGAAAGAAGCUUGCUUCUUUUGCUGACGAGCGGCGGACGGGUGAGUAAUGCCUGGGAACAUGCCUUAGUGUGGGGGAUAACCAUUGGAAACGAUGGCUAAUACCGCAUAACGUCUACGGACCAAAGAGGGGGAUCUUCGGGCCUCUCGCGUCAGGAUAUGCCUAGGUGGGAUUAGCUAGUUGGUGAGGUAAUGGCUCACCAAGGCGACGAUCCCUAGCUGGUCUGAGAGGAUGAUCAGCCACACUGGAACUGAGACACGGGUCCAGACUCCUACGGGAGGCAGCAGUGGGGAAUAUUGCACAAUGGGCGCAAGCCUGAUGCAGCCAUGCCGCGUGUAUGAAGAAGGCCUUCGGGUUGUAAAGUACUUUCAGUCGUGAGGAAGGCAUUGCGUUAAUAGCGUAAGUGUUUGACGUUUAGCG